RNAcentral lists this unclassified non-coding RNA (211 nucleotides) under Hevea brasiliensis (rubber tree). The record is from RNAcentral. Lineage: Eukaryota; Viridiplantae; Streptophyta; Magnoliopsida; Malpighiales; Euphorbiaceae.
UUCGAUCAGGCGCUCAAGUCCGAGCGCGAUCUGUUCCUGAAGCUGAUGAACGGCGAGCAGUCGAAGGCGCAGCGUUACGCAUUCUUCUCGGAGCGCGAAGCUGCCAAGGUAUCUGGUGUGCCAGAUGGCACCAAGCCGCGCGACGUGAAGCAGGUCGCCAUCAUCGGCGCCGGCACCAUGGGCGGCGGCAUCGCGAUGUCGUUCGCCAAUG